This 431-nucleotide ribosomal RNA is filed under the name uncultured bacterium. RNAcentral's name for it is "partial 16S ribosomal RNA". It matches the Rfam family "Bacterial small subunit ribosomal RNA", at positions 29 to 507 of the family's 1533-position model. The record is from RNAcentral.
AACGAACGCUGGCGGCAGGCUUAACACAUGCAAGUCGAGCGCCCCGCAAGGGGAGCGGCAGACGGGUGAGUAACGCGUGGGAACGUACCUUUUGGUUCGGAACAACUCCGGGAAACUGGAGCUAAUACCGGAUAAGCCCUAACGGGGAAAGAUUUAUCGCCGAAAGAUCGGCCCGCGUCUGAUUAGCUAGUUGGUGAGGUAACGGCUCACCAAGGCGACGAUCAGUAGCUGGUCUGAGAGGAUGAUCAGCCACACUGGGACUGAGACACGGCCCAGACUCCUACGGGAGGCAGCAGUGGGGAAUAUUGGACAAUGGGCGCAAGCCUGAUCCAGCCAUGCCGCGUGAGUGAUGAAGGCCUUAGGGUUGUAAAGCUCUUUUGUCCGGGAAGAUAAUGACUGUACCGGAAGAAUAAGCCCCGGUUAACUUCGUG